This 259-nucleotide ribosomal RNA is filed under the name uncultured bacterium. RNAcentral's name for it is "partial 16S ribosomal RNA". It matches the Rfam family "Bacterial small subunit ribosomal RNA", at positions 795 to 1052 of the family's 1533-position model. The record is from RNAcentral.
CCACGCCCUAAACGAUGUCUACUAGUUGUCGGGUUUUAAUUAACUUGGUAACGCAGCUAACGCGUGAAGUAGACCGCCUGGGGAGUACGGUCGCAAGAUUAAAACUCAAAGGAAUUGACGGGGACCCGCACAAGCGGUGGAUGAUGUGGAUUAAUUCGAUGCAACGCGAAAAACCUUACCUACCCUUGACAUGGAAGGAAUCCUGGAGAGAUUUGGGAGUGCCCGAAAGGGAACCUUCACACAGGUGCUGCAUGGCUGU